UCAACUUCUUCAACAAAGUUCUCCCUCUUCUCUCAAAACAAAAUACACUGCUACGAUGCUAUCCUCUCCGCCCUUCUUUGCUCAUAUUUCCGUCGUGACUACUUCAUCUUCUCCAUCUUAUAUUCUCUCUCUAUCAAACUCUCUUCUGAGUCUUCAUCGAUUUCACGGACUCCCUUGUAUCCCUUCGCUUCACCACAGACUCAACCUUCACACUCCAUUGUGAAUGCUUUAUUUAACAUCGUGCUCUCAUCACAAACGUCAUGGACAACUCAACUCAGACUUUGCUUUGACUUAACCUUUUACUUACUGUAA
Vicia faba (fava bean) is the source of this 312-nucleotide non-coding RNA. The record is from the annotation of a GenBank genome assembly. NCBI's taxonomy places the organism in Eukaryota, Viridiplantae, Streptophyta, Magnoliopsida, Fabales, Fabaceae.